RNAcentral lists this unclassified non-coding RNA (339 nucleotides) under soil metagenome. Its description in RNAcentral is "partial contains 5.8S ribosomal RNA, internal transcribed spacer 2, and large subunit ribosomal RNA". The stretch from base 1 to 120 matches the Rfam family "5.8S ribosomal RNA", at positions 35 to 154 of the family's 154-position model. The record is from RNAcentral.
GAUGAAGAACGUAGUGAAAUGCGAUAAGUAGUGUGAAUUGCAGACUUUAGUGAAUCAUCGAAUCUUUGAACGCACAUUGCGCCCCUUGGUAUUCCAUUGGGCAUGCCUGUUCGAGCGUCAUUUACACCCUCAAGCUCACGCUUGGUGUUGGGCGUCUGUCCGCGCUUUCGGGCGUGGACUCGCCCCAAAUCCAUUGGCAGCGGCUCCGCCGGCUUCUCGCGCAGCACUUUGCGUUCAGGAAGGCUUUCGGCGGGCUCGCGUCCAGCAAGCACCCACCCAUUUUGACCUCGAAUCAGGUAGGGAUACCCGCUGAACUUAAGCAUAUCAAUAAGCGGAGGA